This is a non-coding RNA of Vicia faba (fava bean), 590 nucleotides long. The record is from the annotation of a GenBank genome assembly. Lineage: Eukaryota; Viridiplantae; Streptophyta; Magnoliopsida; Fabales; Fabaceae.
AUGGCACAUAACAAGAAUCUAGGAUACAUAAAAAAAAUUGUAUUCAUGUUACUAGUUUUGUUUGUGACACAAACAUUACAGAUUGAGAUCAAAAUUGAAGAAGAGCCUUCAAGUGGUUUAUUAUGCAUUAGUGAAUGUGUUACAUGUCCUACAAUAUGUUCACCACCCCCUCCUAAACUUGUUUCAUCAAAUUCAAACCACCCUCCACUUUCACCCCUAACACAAAAUCCUCCACCUCCUCCAUUAUUAACAAAUUCACCCCCUUUUCCACUAAUUACACUCCACCCUCCAUCUUCUCCAUUGUUAACACAAACCCCUCCACCUCCUCCAUUAUUAACAUCAUAUUCACCUCCUCCUUCUCCACUUCUAAAAUCAUAUCCUCCUCCAACACUAACUCUUCCACCACCAUUGUUGACUAUGUCGCCGCCGUCUCCACCAACUCCUUCAACACAUUCAUCUGGGGAAGCUCCUCCUCCGCCUUUGAAAUCCUCGCCUUCUUCGGGUUCAUCAGGUUCAGCACAACCACAACCUACAGUUAUUGGUGGAUCACCACAUAACUAUCCAUAUCCAUAUUACUAUUAUUAUGCUUC